AAAAAACGAAACAAUAAUUUCAAGCCAAUUUUCAUUAAAACACCUACACGAUGGAUCUAUGCCAAAUUAUGAACAGUAUAACAAAGAGGAAAUACAUAUGCUUAUUUAUCUGAAACCAGAAGGUUUUAGUUUCAUUCAAUAGCAUAAAUAAAUUUAGGAUAAUAAUUAAUCUUUAGAACCCGAUCUCUCACUGAAUUAAUUCACACAUGUGAAAUCUUGCACUAACUUACUCAAUAACAAUUCCCAUAGACAUAUUAGUGAGGUCCAGGUGUUCUAUUCAAGGAUAAAAAUAUAUAGUUAGCCAUAACAUGAUCAAAAUUAAUACUAAUCACUAUGAACACUACCAAAAUCAGUGUCUAGAUUGAACUAUAUACAGCUAACAAACAUAUACUAAUACAAUGAUUAGCUAAACGUCAAUGAUCCUCAAUCAAACGGCCAAUUUCUUCAUUAAAACUUCAAUGAAUACAUCAGUGAGUUUCAAGUAGUGUACCUGGGAAUUAUAGUUCAACAAAACAAAGAGGAGUUAGCACAGCAGCAACAGAAAGCACAACUUCAAACCAGAAACAAUACAGUGAUGGAAUUUGAUUUCAAAACCAAAUGAAGCUCAUGGAGUGAUCUCAGUCACAACAACAAUUUGACCCAAAAAUGAAAUCCAAAAGAGCUUAAAAUAGCUUAAAAUGAAACAGUAACACCACAGAAUCUCAAUGCAAUCUCAAAUCCAAAACUCAAAGUGGACUGAAGAUUAUAAUGGAACAGUAACUUUCUUCUAUUUUUCUAUCAGAUUUUCCUACUGUUUUUUCUUGUUUUGUUUUGAGUUUUUUGUCUUUUUUUUUUUGUUUCUGAAUUUCUAAAUCUACUCAAAUCUAAAAAUGAGCAUGAAAAAAAAAGUAUUUUUUUAAGCUAGUGUUGGGUGAAGAAGAAGACCCCCAGCAAGGCUAUUUCUAUGCCCUUUUAUAGGAAUG
This 962-nucleotide long non-coding RNA is filed under the name Nicotiana benthamiana. RNAcentral describes it as "long non-coding RNA (NBEN_LNC004147)". Lineage: Eukaryota; Viridiplantae; Streptophyta; Magnoliopsida; Solanales; Solanaceae. The record is from RNAcentral.